RNAcentral lists this long non-coding RNA (248 nucleotides) under Rattus norvegicus (Norway rat). RNAcentral describes it as "long non-coding RNA NONRATT031865". The record is from RNAcentral. Lineage: Eukaryota; Metazoa; Chordata; Mammalia; Rodentia; Muridae.
CUUGCCUCCGCCGCGCUGCCAACAUGGCGCUUUCCCAGGGUCUGCUCUCUGCUCCAGUUUCACGUCUUGCUCUCCCUCCAGGGAUCUGAGCCACCUGACAAGACGGAUGAGGAACCGAGUAUCCACUGAAUUACCACGCUUGUGAUCCUAGCACCUGGAGGCUAAAGCAGGACAUCCCAAGUUCACAUCCAGGUAGGGCUACAAAGUGAAACUCUAAAUCACAAACCCAAAAGGCAAAACAAGGGAGA